Molecule: ribosomal RNA, 669 nt
Filed under: uncultured bacterium
Lineage: Bacteria
Description: bacterial SSU rRNA
Rfam family: Bacterial small subunit ribosomal RNA
Source: RNAcentral
ACGGGUGAGUAACGCGUGGGUAACCUGCCUUAUACAAGGGGAUAACAGAGGGAAACUUCUGCUAAUACCGUAUAAAAAUAUUUUACGCAUGUGAGAUAUUUGAAAGAUUUAUCAGUAUGAGAUGGACCCGCGUCUGAUUAGGUAGUUGGUGAGGUAGAGGCUCACCAAGCCGACGAUCGGUAGCCGAUCUGAGAGGAUGACCGGCCACAUUGGGACUGAGACACGGCCCAAACUCCUACGGGAGGCAGCAGUGGGGAAUAUUGGACAAUGGGGGCAACCCUGAUCCAGCGACGCCGCGUGAGUGAAGAAGUAUUUCGGUAUGUAAAGCUCUAUCGAUAACGGAAGAAGAUGACAAGCCGUUAAGGAAGAAGCCCCGGCUAACUACGUGCCAGCAGCCGCGGUAAUACGUAGGGGGCAAGCGUUAUCCGGAUUUACUGGGUGUAAAGGGAGCGUAGACGGCGAAUAAAGUCUGAAGUGAAAUCCCGCAGCUCAACUGCGGAGUUGCUUUGGAAACUUAUAAGCUGGAGUGUCGGAGGGGUAAGCGGAAUUCCCAGUGUAGCGGUGAAAUGCGUAGAUAUUGGGAGGAACACCGGAGGCGAAGGCGGCUUACUGGAAGAUAACUGACGUUGAGGCUCGAAGGCGUGGGUAGCAAACAGGAUUAGAUACCCU